UUUUUCCACCGGAGCUUGCUCCACCGGAAAAAGAAGAGUGGCGAACGGGUGAGUAACACGUGGGUAACCUGCCCAUCAGAAGGGGAUAACACUUGGAAACAGGUGCUAAUACCGUAUAACAAUCGAAACCGCAUGGUUUUGAUUUGAAAGGCGCUUUCGGGUGUCGCUGAUGGAUGGACCCGCGGUGCAUUAGCUAGUUGGUGAGGUAACGGCUCACCAAGGCCACGAUGCAUAGCCGACCUGAGAGGGUGAUCGGCCACAUUGGGACUGAGACACGGCCCAAACUCCUACGGGAGGCAGCAGUAGGGAAUCUUCGGCAAUGGACGAAAGUCUGACCGAGCAACGCCGCGUGAGUGAAGAAGGUUUUCGGAUCGUAAAACUCUGUUGUUAGAGAAGAACAAGGAUGAGAGUAACUGUUCAUCCCUUGACGGUAUCUAACCAGAAAGCCACGGCUAACUACGUGCCAGCAGCCGCGGUAAUACGUAGGUGGCAAGCGUUGUCCGGAUUUAUUGGGCGUAAAGCGAGCGCAGGCGGUUUCUUAAGUCUGAUGUGAAAGCCCCCGGCUCAACCGGGGAGGGUCAUUGGAAACUGGGAGACUUGAGUGCAGAAGAGGAGAGUGGAAUUCCAUGUGUAGCGGUGAAAUG
RNAcentral lists this ribosomal RNA (644 nucleotides) under Enterococcus faecium. Its description in RNAcentral is "bacterial SSU rRNA". It matches the Rfam family "Bacterial small subunit ribosomal RNA", at positions 72 to 688 of the family's 1533-position model. The record is from RNAcentral. Lineage: Bacteria; Bacillati; Bacillota; Bacilli; Lactobacillales; Enterococcaceae.